Molecule: small nuclear RNA, 104 nt
Filed under: Microtus ochrogaster (prairie vole)
Lineage: Eukaryota; Metazoa; Chordata; Mammalia; Rodentia; Cricetidae
Source: RNAcentral
GUGCUCGCUUGGGCAGCACAUUUACUGAAACUUGACAGACACAGAGAUUAGUAUGGACCUGUGAAAGGAUGACUAAGUCAAUUUGUGCGGUAUUCCAUACUUUA